CCGGCUGUGGUAAUUGAGUGGAGCUACUAGAGCUGCAAGCAUCUUAGGGCCAUGACUUGGAUAAAGCUUCAACUUGCUCAGUCACCAAUCUAAUGGGAGAAGUAACAAUGCUGUUCCAAUCAAACCUUGAUUUUCCAGCAAAAUAAAGAUACCAGCCACAGUAAGCCACGAGCUUUAUGAAAUAAAUUUUGAUGUUGAAGCAGAGAGUGCUGCAUAUCCUCAAUGGAUUCCAACACACGCACCUUCAUGGCCAACGACCUCCAGAACAAAAUGCCAGGUAUAUAUAGCAAGAGAGCAAUGACAUAAUAUGUGAUCCAAAUCCUC
This 324-nucleotide long non-coding RNA is filed under the name Elaeis guineensis (African oil palm). RNAcentral describes it as "long non-coding RNA (EGUI_LNC023265)". The record is from RNAcentral. Lineage: Eukaryota; Viridiplantae; Streptophyta; Magnoliopsida; Arecales; Arecaceae.